AAAACAUAAAAGUCACUCAUUUCACUUUACUAUUGGACUCAUCAAAGUGCGGGAAUGGUCAUGCACUCAAACUUGUAGAUCUAUGGGAUCCUCAUAGAGUUCCAAUGGUAGGUUAGCCUGCGAUUCCUCACUUUCUUCUUUAUAUGGGGGGGAGCAUGGAAAGAAUGAGUUCCAUAUGCUCAGUAAAAAAAAAACAAUAUUAAAUUAACAUCAUAAGAUUUCAAAAUUUAAUUAUUUUGACUUAAGAGCUUACCAUUUAACUUCUUCGUUUACUUAUCUCACAUUAUAAAAAUAAUUUAUUUAUUAAGAAAAUAAUACAUUAAUACAGAUAACCAAACAUAUAUCAUGCCAGAUAAUAGAGAAAAUCAAGUAAAUUAUUAAAUGCUUAGAUUUUCGUGUCAUGCUUUACGAAAUCGUUACAACUUUCAUAUGUGAUGAUAGAUACAGAUUUCUAAUUACCCAAGUGAAAUGAUUAGAUUAGAUAUAGAUACGAAAAUUUGCUCAUACCCAUUUUCGGCUAGCCCAAACCAUGAUAUGAUCUACGACCACGACGUACCAACCACAGUGGUUUUAACAGAUAUCUAUAGUCAUGACAUUAUUUAGUUACGAGUGACCCCUACAGAUAAUGCGAUACCACUCUCGUCAGAGGGUACACGACAUCCACUAGGAGUGGUCCUCUUAUGUCUUUUUAGAUCAGAUAGAGAAGGAAGAAACAGAUAUCCUGAAAGGCAAGGGGAACAGAUACCUCUCAGAGAUAAAAAAAUUAACGAGACAGUUGAUGCAAUAUGCAUGUCAAUACAGAUACACUUCGGACCAUACAGGUUUUAUUUCACUUUUUUCAUUUUUUUUUCUUUUGUAUUUUUUUUACCAAACAAUUAUACCGGUUUAUUACAUUCAAUUUAUCAAGUGUCUUUAAUACACAUAGUAUGCUUGAAAACAAGAACAAUUCGACUCAUCUAAACAGAAAGGCACACAAAAUAGACAAAAUCACAAUCAUAUUAAAUUAGUUUAUUUAAAAAAAUACUUCUUAAGACGUUGAAAGAAAUACCAAAUGCCUUACUGAAAUAUUGAUAUUUUCUUCUUCACCGUUAUCUUUUCUUUUUCUUCUUCUCUCACUAGACUAUUAUCUCUUUCUCUCUCUAUCUAAAUCUUGAAAAAUAGAAGAAUAGAAGUAUGGGGAGAAAUGGAAGGAAAAUGACAAUUUAUAAAAUUUUAGAACCUGUUGGAUUCACAUCAAGUUGUGAAUUCUUGUGAAGAGAGAGGAGAAAAAAUGCUCGAUACGAAAA
Molecule: long non-coding RNA, 1286 nt
Filed under: Carica papaya (papaya)
Lineage: Eukaryota; Viridiplantae; Streptophyta; Magnoliopsida; Brassicales; Caricaceae
Description: long non-coding RNA (CPAP_LNC008210)
Source: RNAcentral